UUGGGUUUGGAGGGACAUCAAAGAUCAUCUGGUUCCAACCCACUGCCAUUAGCAAGGACACUUUCCACUAGACCACACCGCUAAAAGCUCCAACCAACCUGGCCUCGAACACUUCCAGGGAGGAGACUUCCACAUUUUAUCCCCAUGAUUCAUCGUAAAAUACACACAGCAGAAAGAAAAUCUCUAAAACUACAUACCCAAGAGCACAAUUAAAAUGGCAUACCCAAGAGGAUUCUGGCAUGGAUCUUUUCCCACAUUUUCCAGUGCUGAGUGGAAGGCCCACACUCCAGAAGCUCAUUAAAAGGGCCAAGUUACAGUACAGGUUUAUUUCUGUCACAGCGUUUCAAAAAACAGUGACAAGGAUUAAUAUGUUUCUUUGGUACUGGAAAAAGCCUGAUAUGAUCCCUUGUGAAUUUGAUCAUCUGUUUUGUUGCCUGUAUACGAUUCAAUCUCCUAUUAUAUCCUGAAGUUACAGCUGUAAACCAGGGCUGAUAAGAAUUCAGAAAACACUGCCAGAGACUGUAGAGAACUAAUUGUUUUAUUAAGCAGCAUCUUGUUUAUUUGCAAUUUAUUUCAAACGUCAUUCAGAGAACAAACUCUUCUUUAAAAUAAUAAAGCAUGAUAAAUCUGCUGUACAUUAUCUGUGACAGGCACUAUAUUGUAUAAAUAUGUACAAGUAAUUGAGUUAAAAAAUCUCUCAAACUGUUACUUCUAUUCUGUUGUUGCUUAUGAAUAGCUAUUUUUGAACAUUUAUGGAAUUCCUUCCAAGGCUUUUCAUAAUUCUGACAGUAAGCUCAGAUCUACAGAUUGCCUAAAAAUUCAUCUCCAUCUGAAGAUAGAGCCUGACAGUGUAACGGUGUGCUCCAGCCUGAUCUGGGGAAAGCAUUCCUAGGCAAGUGCUCUAGAGACUGACGAGGGGCCCCUCCUCCAGGAGCACAGGUAGCCCCAUGUCAGAAGUGCUCUAUGAGCAGAGCACCCUCCUGAGCCAUGGGCAGCAGAGCGGGGCACAAGAUCCCUUCUGACAAAGACUGAUAGUCUUGUCAGAGCCCCUCAGAAGCCCUGUGCCAACACACCUGAGAGUAAUGGUGGCUUCAGCACUGCCUCUGCUACCUUUGUGAUCAGAUCCAGACGUCGCCAAGAAUUACAGGAUGCUAUCUUAAAUCACAAGAUAGAACAGAUGGGCCUUGCUGCAUAUUUAUGAACUACCAGUAUAAUGGGAUCAUUUCUGGGAGUAAGAGGGAGAAGACUGAAUGUCCACUUUCAUUUACUGAGGAUUUUGGUAGGGAACAAAUAAUACUAUCCUUUAAAGAAAGCUUCCUUCAUGUUCAACCCUAAAGAAGGGCUUGCUGUCUUCCUCACUCACCUGUAGUAAAAAUCCUUCAUAUGGUUUGUUCCACUGGUUUCAUGGGAAUAUUCUCAAGAUGAAACACUUAAUCAUUGGCACUGUGGGUGGAGUUUUGAUUAUUUGUCUUAUUGCUGUGAUUCAUUAUCAUGUGUGUGAAAAUAUGUUUCAAUAUACCAUAAUUCAAAGCCCACACCCUUAGAAUGAUUUAACAACUGAACACAAUCAAACAAACAGAUAGAAAAUACAUGUACUUUACUGUAUAUGUCAGAAAUUAGACAAUAAACCCACAUUUUUUUAGGAGUGGUUCUUAUUCCUAAUUUCUAAAGUGCCACACCAGCAUUUUAACCCGCCAUUGAUUGUAUAUGAUUGUCUGUGCACAGCUAAACAGACCCUUGUUUGCAGCUGGCAAUUUAUUGCCCUUCUGCAUUACAACAAAGAAACACAAAAUGGUAGCCAAAGAGAAAACUGCCAGUCAAAACACUCUUGCUCUCUUAUUCACACUGUUGCUUUCUACCUCCACACUCCAUUUUUCUCUAACAACAAAUUUAACUUAUGAAUGAGAAAGGUUAAAGAAAAAAUAUUUAGUUGCCAAAAACAUGGCAAAAGUAUUAUAAAAAGAUCUGUUACUGUUAAACACUGUAUGUCCUUAGAAAAAUGCUAGGAACCACAAGAGUUACACUUUUAUCUAAGAGGUAGCAUAUGUGCCAUAUAAUACAUAUGUUGCAAUCACAGCAACUUAUUUUGCAUGAACAGCAGCAAACUCUGAAAAAAAAAUGUCCAGUGCUCAAAUGAAAGCUGUCAUCAUGUCUUCAUUUUAAAUAUGUAUUCAGCGGAAAAACAUUUUUGUAUAUUUUUUCUGAAGGUUGGGUUUGGGGUUUUUUGGACUACUACUUAUUAGCAUAAAAAAAGAAGGACCUUUAUAUUUUACUAUUAUAGGUUGUUUUGAAGAGUGUCAUUAAUGUUAACAUUUUAAUGCAUAUAUAAAUGCUGGGUUAAAGUAAUUCUUCUUGUUCACAUGCUCUUAUUUCUUUCUUCCAAU
This is a long non-coding RNA of Passer domesticus (house sparrow), 2384 nucleotides long. RefSeq lists it as uncharacterized. The transcript has 3 exons. The record is from RefSeq and is a predicted model, not a curated record. Lineage: Eukaryota; Metazoa; Chordata; Aves; Passeriformes; Passeridae.